Long non-coding RNA from Mustela lutreola (European mink), 2562 nucleotides. RefSeq lists it as uncharacterized. The record is from RefSeq and is a predicted model, not a curated record. The transcript has 3 exons. NCBI's taxonomy places the organism in Eukaryota, Metazoa, Chordata, Mammalia, Carnivora, Mustelidae.
UCCGCCGCCGGGACUUCCUCACAGAAGAGGAGGAGCCUAACUUCCGAGAGGCACUUAGGGGACGAUCUGAAAUCCAACAAAAGCAAGGGCUGGUGGGAUCAGGGAGGCGGCGCGCCCGGGAGGCUGGCCAGGCCCGGGCACUGCUCCUUCUGGGCCGGCUGGGGCCCUGUUUCCCAGCAGGCGGACUCCAGCCAAAGGGCUGCUGCUUAAACGCACACUCUGGCCAAGUGGGCCCCGGGCCGAGGGAGACUUUCAGGGCCAUUUUCCUGUUUCUGGCCAAGUGGCUGAUGGUCCCUGGGGCUCGGGAGGGAGGAGCAGGCCCGAUGGGAUGAGGGGCCGCAGGGCCGGGACCUCGGGUGUGGCUGGCAGGAGGGUUGUACGGUCCCUUGUAGGUCAGCCUCGAAGGGCUCUGGCAGAGGGGAGAGGGCCUGGUUCCUCGGCCUGGCAAGGAAGGAAGAGCUGGAAGCUGGCUCGCUUCAAAGACGAUCCCCCAGGACGUGUCUCAUCCUCCCUCUGGAGGGCCGUGGAGGUCAGGUCCCGCGCCAGGAUGUGGGUCCUCUUCCUGUGACAGCCCCUCCCAGCUGGUUCUGGAGAGUUCCACGACAGGACCAGUCAGUUAGCUCAGUUCGUUCAUGCGUGACUCUGCCGGGACCUUGGGGCCUGAGGUGGUCACCGGAGGUAGGGGUGCUGUGCAGAGGGGGGAACCCACACUAGGGCCUCCUGGAAGGCUGAGUCCAAGUGGUGUGAAGGAAGGUUGGGUUCAGACAGGUACCCUGCAGCCGCAGGGGGCAGGUCAGUGGCCCCCACGGUCACACUGGCUGCACCUGGGGUCAGCCAGGGAGCGCGGAGAUCAAGUGGAAACAUCAGACUAGCACCAGGCGCCCAAGGGCCUGGAGGACCACACAACUGGCUCUACCCUGAGCUGGCAGCAGGGAGGUUCUGGUGGAAAGUGGUGCCGUGAAGGAACCUGUGGGCAGAAGCCACAGGACACCUAGCGCUGAGCAGCUCCGGGACGGACGCCGGCCUUCCCGCAUGGAGCACCGGGGAGCCGAGGAAUGGCCGGAGGAGGUGACCCUGGGACCUCCAGCCACGGUACGCAGGCUCCGGAAAACGUCCUCAUGAGGCAACGAACAUUCCCAUCACCCAUCCCCAGCCGUCCCCAGAAGCCGGUCAUCUGCCCUGGUCACCAGAGAUUAGUCUGGACGCUGCAAGGUCUCCCCGUGGAAUGGUUGGAUUGCACCGUGGUGCACGUGUAUGUGCUCGGCCGUCCUUCUUUCUGUCUUUUUAACUUCAGUCGAGGCAAAUGGAGCCAUUUGCAUGUUGUUUCCUGCUUUUUGUGUUCUAAGAAAUUGUUGUCCACCCGAGCACAAGACGAUGCCUGUUUCCUCGCAGGAGUUUGAUAGUUUGGGAAUUUAUGUGGACGGUGAUCCCUGUUCAGCUAAUUGAGCGCGUGUGUCGCGUGAGACCAGCCUCCCCACCGAGAUACCCAGAGGGUCCAACACCUUGGGGACAAAGCUGUUUUUCCGACAGAGUUGUUUGGACAUCAAUAUUGAAAAUUAACUUACCAUGUUUACGUAGGUCUGCCUCUUUUUUCAAAAGUGAUUUUUCAACUGAAAAUUAUAGAAUUCUGCUUCCACUCUUUGUCCAGGUUCUACCUGCGCCUCCCCCUCCACGCCUCCCCCUCCACGCCUCCCCCUCCACGGCUUAGUCAACCACACCGCUUCCUUCAAGUGUCCUAAAAAGUGAGAUGUGUGCCCACAGGGUGACCCAGCGACUGCGCUCCUGGGCACUUACCCUGGAGAAACGGAAGUCUCACCGGACACCGCACACCGAGCAGCUUUAUUCGUGCAGCAAAAUCUCAGAAACGUCCCAGGCGUCCUGCAGUGACUACACGGACCGCCGCCGCCCGGAGAGGGGAACAUCACUUCGAGAUAAAAAGGACCUGACUCUGACGCACGUGGUCGGCAUGUAUCUCAAGGGCCUUGCGCUGGCUAGACGGUCCGACCUCAAAGAUGGUUGUAUUCCCCGUACACAGUGUUCCUGAAACAGCAAGUCCCAGCGAUGCCGCAGACACUGGGACGUGCCGGGGGUCACAAAGGGGCAGCAUGCCCAAGUCCUUCGUGGGAUGGGGCGGUUUCGUGUCCUGAGCGUGGUUGUGGUUUCAGGAAUCUGCACAUCACAGAAUCACAAACAGCCACACAACCAAACAAACGCGUACGUCUAAAAUCUUCCAGAACAUGCAAACUCGUCUCUAGCAGCAGAAGCAUCGGGGACGCCUGGCCAGAGGAGCAAGGGUGGGGCAGACGGACGUAUGGGGGGGUGGCGGGCAGGUUUGUGACGGUUUGCUUGCAGGAAGGAUUUUGUGGGCACAUGGUCAGAAAUUACCAACUGGGGACGCCCGGGGGACUCAGUUGGUGAAGCAGCUGCCUUCGGCUCAGGUCGUGAUCCCAGCGUCCUGGGAUCGAGUCCCACAUCGGGCUCCUUGCUCGGCAGGAGGCCUGCGUCUCCCUCUGCCUCUGCCUGCCUCUCUGUCUGCCUGUGCUCGCUCUCGCGCUCUCUCUC